Molecule: transfer RNA, 73 nt
Filed under: Bos taurus (domestic cattle)
Lineage: Eukaryota; Metazoa; Chordata; Mammalia; Artiodactyla; Bovidae
Also listed under: 4 other names
Rfam family: tRNA
About the family: Transfer RNA (tRNA) molecules are approximately 80 nucleotides in length. Their secondary structure includes four short double-helical elements and three loops (D, anti-codon, and T loops).
Source: Rfam by way of RNAcentral
UCCCUGGUAGUCCAGUGGUUAAGACUCCAUGCUCCCAAUGCAGGCGGCCAGGGUUCAAUCCCUGGUCAGGGAA